Molecule: ribosomal RNA, 471 nt
Filed under: uncultured bacterium
Lineage: Bacteria
Description: partial 16S ribosomal RNA
Rfam family: Bacterial small subunit ribosomal RNA
Source: RNAcentral
GACGAACGCUGGCGGCGUGCUUAACACAUGCAAGUCGAACGAUGAAGCGGUGCUUGCACCGUGGAUUAGUGGCGAACGGGUGAGUAAUACGUGAGUGACCUACCUUUGACUCUGGGAUAAGCCUGGGAAACUGGGUCUAAUACCGGAUACGACCAAUCUCUGCAUGGGGUGUUGGUGGAAAGCGUUAUGGAGUGGUUUUAGAUGGGCUCACGGCCUAUCAGCUUGUUGGUGAGGUAAUGGCUUACCAAGGCGACGACGGGUAGCCGGCCUGAGAGGGUGACCGGCCACACUGGGACUGAGACACGGCCCAGACUCCUACGGGAGGCAGCAGUGGGGAAUAUUGCACAAUGGGCGCAAGCCUGAUGCGGCGACGCCGCGUGAGGGAUGACGGCCUUCGGGUUGUAAACCUCUGUUAGCAUCGAAGAAGCGAAAGUGACGGUAGGUGCAGAGAAAGCGCCGGCUAACUACGUG